UGUGACAUAUCAUUCAAGUUUCUGACCUAUCAGCUUUAGACGGUAGGGUAUUGGCCUACCGUGGCUAUGACGGGUAACGGGGAAUUAGGGUUCGAUUCCGGAGAGGGAGCCUGAGAAACGGCUACCACAUCUAAGGAAGGCAGCAGGCGCGCAAAUUACCCAAUCCUAAUACAGGGAGGUAGUGACAAGAAAUAACAAUACAGAGCCUUACGGUUUUGUAAUUGGAAUGAGUUAAGUAUAAACCCCUUAACAAGUAUCAAUUGGAGGGCAAGUCUGGUGCCAGCAGCCGCGGUAAUUCCAGCUCCAAUAGCGUAUAUUAAAGUUGUUGCAGUUAAAAAGCUCGUAGUUAAUUUUCUGUUAAUUUUUAUAUACAAUGCUACGGUAUUUAUAUAAUAUUAACAUAAUUCAUAUUACUUUUUAGUAUAUGAAACUUUACUUUGAGAAAAUUAGAGUGCUUAAAGCAGGCUAUUGCCUUGAAUACUCCAGCAUGGAAUAAUAUUAAGGAUUUUUAUUCUUCUUAUUGGUUCUAGAAUAAAAAUAAUGAUUAAUAGGGACAGUUGGGGGCAUUUGUAUUUAACAGUCAGAGGUGAAAUUCUUAGAUUUGUUAAAGACAAACUACUGCGAAAGCAUUUGCCAAGGAUGUUUUCAUUAAUCAAGAACGAAAGUUAGGGGAUCGAAGACGAUCAGAU
This 689-nucleotide ribosomal RNA is filed under the name Cryptosporidium ryanae. RNAcentral describes it as "SSU rRNA". It matches the Rfam family "Eukaryotic small subunit ribosomal RNA", at positions 286 to 1013 of the family's 1831-position model. Lineage: Eukaryota; Apicomplexa; Conoidasida; Eucoccidiorida; Cryptosporidiidae. The record is from RNAcentral.